CAUGUUCCAUCAGAUCCCUCGUAUGGAUAGUUAGCCUCAGUUGUUAAGCCAUGAUUUUGUUCUGUGAAUUUAAAGGCAUCAUCCAUUAAGCCACCCUGGCAUCCUUGAUCCUCUCCCUUGGUGUCACAAUCAACAAGUUCUUGCUCAGAAAGUGAGAUCAAUUUUCCAGUUGAUAGUUGAGUAACUCCUUCCACAGCAGCCACAGCCGAAAACGCCCAGCAGGAUCCUGUAUAAAAUUUCACUGAUCAAUCAGCUAUAUAUAAAAAAUAAUUACUGAUGAUCCAGUUAUGAUCUGUUAGAAAGUUGGUACAUACCACACUGGCCUUGGUCCUUGAUGGCAGUAACUGCUCCUUUCUUUCUCCAGUCCAUGGAAGAUGGGACUGCAGAAACAUUUUCAUACUUGAAAGGACCUGCUUGUGCAGAACACAUAUGCCCCUUGAAUCUAUUCCUUGUGGUUUUGAAUUCUUCAUUAGUAAGAUCUGCAAACUUAUUGACGCCAAGCUUGUAUGUUUUCCCUGAAGCUUUGUUGAAGGAUUCUAUGCGCUCUACAUUUUUCUUGAAUAUCUGAUAACGCAUCUCCUUCUCACUAGCAUCCUUGUAUACGCGUCCAUAUCGAGUCAUCCAUUCCUCAUGCUUUUCAUACAUUAAUGCAUCUUGGAGAGUACGAGCUAUGGCUUGAGAAGCCAAAGCUCCCAAUAUGAAGAUCAAUGCCAAAGAAAUACCCCAGUUUUGGAUUGUGAAUGCCAUGGGGAAUGAUAUGCUAACUGCUAACUGCUAAGAAUGAUGGAAUCACAGGAUUGCUUCAGUAAUUUAUAUAGAGUUCUCCAAUAGCUUGCUGUUUUAGCAUUCUGGUAGGGAAACAUCUACGUGCCUGGAAAGACAUUCUGUUUUGGACCAGUAUUAUUGAUUUUUAUUUAUUUAUUUAUUAGUUCAUUAAUCAUUUAGAGGUGCAGUCUGUCUUCAGUGGCAGUUUUUGUCUUUUGUGUUUUAACAAACUAAAAUUCUCUCACCGUACCGUUUCCUGCAAAAGAUAUUUGAUUGAAAUGUGAAUAAUUGUUUGUCUUGUGGCGAGAUAAUGGCAUUGUUCUUCCAAAAUUAUUGGAAUGUGUCGUGUCAAGACAUUUCUUAGCAUAUAUAAGAAUGACAGAGAAUCUAAUCUAGAGGUUUUUGAUUCAGGUUGCAUAUUUUAAGAUGUAUAAAAAGAAGGCUGAAAAUGAUGUUAAGUCUUUGGAUUAACCCUUGAGAUUCAAUUCCUAAAAAAAAAAAUUGAGAUUUAAAAUUAGAUAACUAUAGUUAAAAGCUUGUUUCUUUGUCUGGUUCUGAUAUUUUGUGUUUGAUUAUAGGCAGUUUACAUGACAAGUUCCGAGUGAGUUUCUAAGGCCUCAUUGCAGGGUUUAUGUCUUGAUUUUUAGCAGUGUAUUUUCUUGAUAUUAAUCAAUCCAGAGAAAACAUCAUCAUUUUUAAAACUUUAUUUGUUUCACGAAAAUUAACUCUGAAUGUAGAAAUUUCCAGGAAAACUUAUUUUCCAUAUUUUUGUUGCAAGGUUAAAAAGCAAAGAAUAUCAAUGAGAUUUUCGUACAGAAAGUCCAUUCUUGAAAUUUCGAAGUACCUUAAACGCUAAAAAUUACGAAAUUUUUUUUCACAAAAUAAACAGAGCCUUAGGCUUUAUAUUAAUUCAUUGGAAGUCUUACAUAUAUUGAUAGGGUUGUGGUUUUUAACCAUUAUCUUCUAUCAUUCCAAACCUUAGAGGAACUGAAUUUCUAUUUUGCAUGCUAUAGAAAUAGAAACCUGUGAGAGUCAUCAGAAAACAAAAUGAAGGUUCUGACUGAAGUAGAUAUGUGAUAUUGCGUUAAGCACUUCAUCUCAUAUGUGAUAAAUCAUGAAAUUUUCUGGCAGAGACACAGUCGUCAUAUUUUCCAAUUUUUCAUCAUCGUCCUUAAUACAACUGUCCCUGUCAAUCUUAGAUUUUUUAGUGAUUAUCAGUUAUCUGACUCAUAUUGAUGACGUUGAGUCAUCUGGGCCCUGGGUCCACACCAGUGAAUAUUGUCCGCUUUGACUCAAGGCCGCACGGUUUUGCUUAAAACGCGUCCACUGGGGUUUCAAGGGCAGAGACUUAUAAGACCUUCUCCCUUUCAACCUCUUUCCGAUGUGGGAUACCCCUAUGAUCCACCUGCAUAGGGUUCUUUCUCCCCCAUACAGGCCUGAGCGUGCUCGCUCAGCGCACCGUACUCAUGAGGACCAGGUUAUUUUCCCACAGACGGCGCCAAUUGAUGAUCUGAGAUCCAGAGAAAUAGGGUUUUUACAAUGGGCUUUGUAAAAUUUAGAAAAAGCUUAAACAUAGAGAGGAGUAUUUCUCCUUUUAUAUGUUUCCUUUUGUCUGCUAGUGACGUGCCAACAGAACGAGUAUCAUUAGACCAUCUGUUCCUGCUAUGCUGAUACGGACGUACGAGGGAAUCAGAUCUCUGCCCCAUGCGUAACGGCCUCUGAUUCUCUCUGUGCGCGUGUAGUCGGGUCUACGAGGCGGAUGGAUGAAUCCUUCUUCGGGUUCCGGGCUGGGUCGGAGGAUAGGAAAAGCUGGAUCCAAAUGGGAUCGGCCCGAGGUGCAGUGAAGACCAGGCCGGCCUGGUGGAGAAAGCCAGAUGAAGCCCGGUUGUGAGGCUGAGCGGACUGAACCCAGUUCGCGUGGGUGGCUUGAGGAUUUCUAAGUAAUGGGCUAUUUUCAUGGGCCUGGCCCUAGACGGGGUGAGGUGAGCCCAGAGGUCAUCACAUAUGAUAAGAUAAUAUAAGAAAUUAAUUAUGCUGGAACAAAUAUAAAAGUUUGCAUAAGAUAUUCACAUCCAUAUUAUAAAUAAUUAGUUGCAGAUAUACAAGCUCGUUCUGAUACGACGACUGUACACCUACUACCUGAGAUUAUGAACAAUCCACAUAGUAAUUACUAAAAGAUGCUUCCACACUAUAUUAUUUAUAUAAUAUACAUAGUUGAUGGAGGCUGUUUGGUCCUGAACUUCAUGCUGUAGGGUAAGAUGCUUGCAUUGCAAUGCCACAGAGCCCUUCCUUUGCAUCAACAUCUUUCUGCAUCCUUAUGUAGCCUUCCUCGCCCCAUUGGGUGCCCCAUGAAUUCUUCACAAGCCAAUAAUUCAUUCCGUUGCUCUUUCCAUACCCAACAGCUGCAACACCAUGGUCUAGUUCAGUGCCACAAGAUCCUGUAAAGAUGCCACUUGAAUAGAACUGAAACUCAUAUCCCGAAGCAUCGAUGGCAACAGCAACUGGUUGUUUUGCAACAGCCUUCAUUAGUGCUGCCUCAUUGUUGGCUGGAACAUCUUCAUAACCUGUUAUCUUUGCUGCAUGGUUGGCUUCCUUCUGGGUGUUGCAUGUUCCAUCAGAUCCCUCGUAUGGAUAGUUAGCCUCAGUUGUUAAGCCAUGAUUUUGUUCUGUGAAUUUAAAGGCAUCAUCCAUUAAGCCACCCUGGCAUCCUUGAUCCUCUCCCUUGGUGUCACAAUCAACAAGUUCUUGCUCAGAAAGUGAGAUCAAUUUUCCAGUUGAUAGUUGAGUAACUCCUUCCACAGCAGCCACAGCCGAAAACGCCCAGCAGG
This 3593-nucleotide long non-coding RNA is filed under the name Manihot esculenta (cassava). RNAcentral describes it as "long non-coding RNA (MESC_LNC000548)". Lineage: Eukaryota; Viridiplantae; Streptophyta; Magnoliopsida; Malpighiales; Euphorbiaceae. The record is from RNAcentral.